This 315-nucleotide ribosomal RNA is filed under the name Triticum aestivum (bread wheat). RNAcentral describes it as "partial small subunit ribosomal RNA". Lineage: Eukaryota; Viridiplantae; Streptophyta; Magnoliopsida; Poales; Poaceae. The record is from RNAcentral.
AUGGCGCAAAUCCUAGUUGUGCCGCCGGCUACCAUGGGUCAUGUCCAAUCAUCACCAGCAGCUGAGCUCGAUCUAUCGGUAGAAGGCAAUUUGUCAGUGCCAGUUGCAGCGGUCGGAGCUCGACCUGCCUCCUCCAACUGUGGUGAUAUGUGCAUUGGGGGUUAUCGCCCAACCAAUAGUUGUAAUACGGCGGCAGCCCGUUCAUCAGGAAGUGCAGCACAUAUGGGAGGAUCCGAGCUCUAUCUGGUUAGCUUAUCCUCUAAUCUUGUAGUGUUCAUGCAAAGAUCUAGUUUUCGGAAUAAGAUUGUUCUGUGA